GACGAACGCUGGUGGCGUGCUUAACACAUGCAAGUCGAACGGAAAGGCCCUGCUUUUGUGGGGUGCUCGAGUGGCGAACGGGUGAGUAACACGUGAGUAACCUGCCCUUGACUUUGGGAUAACUUCAGGAAACUGGGGCUAAUACCGGAUAGGAGCUCCUGCUGCAUGGUGGGGGUUGGAAAGUUUCGGCGGUUGGGGAUGGACUCGCGGCUUAUCAGCUUGUUGGUGGGGUAGUGGCUUACCAAGGCUUUGACGGGUAGCCGGCCUGAGAGGGUGACCGGCCACAUUGGGACUGAGAUACGGCCCAGACUCCUACGGGAGGCAGCAGUGGGGAAUAUUGCAAAAUGGGCGGAAGCCUGAUGCAGCAACGCCGCGUGCGGGAUGACGGCCUUCGGGUUGUAAACCGCUUUCGCCUGUGACGAAGCGUGAGUGACGGUAAUGGGUAAAGAAGCACCGGCUAACUACGUG
RNAcentral lists this ribosomal RNA (468 nucleotides) under uncultured bacterium. RNAcentral describes it as "partial 16S ribosomal RNA". It matches the Rfam family "Bacterial small subunit ribosomal RNA", at positions 28 to 507 of the family's 1533-position model. The record is from RNAcentral.